Molecule: non-coding RNA, 73 nt
Organism: Glycine max (soybean)
Lineage: Eukaryota; Viridiplantae; Streptophyta; Magnoliopsida; Fabales; Fabaceae
Source: Rfam
ACCCGUUUAGUUCAGUUAGUAGAAUGCAAAGCUCUUAACCUUGUGGUUGUGGGUUAGAGUCCCAUGGCGGAUU